UAUUCGUACAGGGAAUCAAACCCUGAUCAAAGGCUUCGAAGGCCUCCGUUCUUUCAUUAAACUACACGAAU
Molecule: transfer RNA, 71 nt
Filed under: Terrestrivirus sp.
Lineage: Varidnaviria; Bamfordvirae; Nucleocytoviricota; Megaviricetes; Imitervirales; Mimiviridae
Description: tRNA-Arg
Source: RNAcentral